RNAcentral lists this ribosomal RNA (253 nucleotides) under uncultured bacterium. RNAcentral's name for it is "partial 16S ribosomal RNA". It matches the Rfam family "Bacterial small subunit ribosomal RNA", at positions 524 to 776 of the family's 1533-position model. The record is from RNAcentral.
UACGUAGGGCGCAAGCGUUGUCCGGAUUCACUGGGCGUAAAGGGUGCGCAGGCGGCCAAGUGUGUGAGGCGUGAAAGCCCGGGGCUUAACCCCGGAAUUGCACCUCAAACUACAUGGCUAGAGCAUUGGAGAGGGUAGCAGAAUUCACGGUGUAGCAGUGAAAUACGUAGAUAUCGUGAGGAAUACCAGAGGCGAAGGCGGCUACCUGGACAAUUGCUGACGCUCAGGCACGAAAGCGUGGGGAGCAAAAGGG